UACGGAGGGUGCGAGCGUUAAUCGGAAUUACUGGGCGUNAAGCGCGCGUAGGCGGUUUGUUAAGUCGGAUGUGAAAGCCCCGGGCUCAACCUGGGAACUGCACCCGAUACUGGCCGACUUGAGUGCGAGAGAGGGAGGUAGAAUUCCAUGUGUAGCGGUGAAAUGCGUAGAUAUAUGGAGGAAUACCGGUGGCGAAGGCGGCCUCCUGGCUCGACACUGACGCUGAGGUGCGAAAGCGUGGGUAGCAAACAGG
This 253-nucleotide ribosomal RNA is filed under the name uncultured bacterium. RNAcentral's name for it is "partial 16S ribosomal RNA". It matches the Rfam family "Bacterial small subunit ribosomal RNA", at positions 524 to 776 of the family's 1533-position model. The record is from RNAcentral.